Prunus avium (sweet cherry) is the source of this 686-nucleotide non-coding RNA. NCBI's taxonomy places the organism in Eukaryota, Viridiplantae, Streptophyta, Magnoliopsida, Rosales, Rosaceae. The record is from RefSeq and is a predicted model, not a curated record.
UUCUGAAUAACCCUUUUAUGAUCUAAAGUUGGCGAUGGGGCUUUUCUUAAUGGCAGGAUUUAUUUGCAAUAGCACAAGAUCAACCAUUUCGGUUUCCAUCCGCAUUUACUUUUGUCCUAAGGGCAUUCUCAACCCUGGAAGGUAUAGGCUAUGCUCUUGAUCCAGAUUUCUCGUUUGUGAAGAUUGCUGCACCUUAUGCCCAGGAACUUUUAGAUUUAAGACAGACGCAGCGUACUGGGACACAGCUUGUGAACGAAAUAAGGAAACAAGCCGAUGAUGCCAGAAGCUACACCAUGUCCAUGCCAUACAGAGUUCAGCGAAUAGAGGAGUUUGUGAAAGAACUUGAGUCAGGGGAUCUGAAACUCCGAGUCCGGGUGCUUGAGUCAGAAAGAGCUGCUCGAAAAGCGACAAUACUACAAAUGGCGACGAUGUAUACAGUCUUAGGAGGUACCCUGCUUAACCUUGGGGUCACUUUGAGCAGUCAAGGGAGUCAAGCUAUCGCAAAUGGAUCGUUCAUCGGUGCAGGAGUCUUUUUCACACUGCUGGCUAGAUCUAUGCAAAGGGUGAAGACACUUGAGAAAUUUGAGAAGAUGAUCUAAUUUCUAAACCCAAAGCCAGCCCAGAACCCAUCUAGCCUUCGCAGUAUAGCUUAUACCCAAUUUCCACAUUCAGUCGCAUAAUUCUUC